UGAAAAUUCCGGGCUCAACCCGGGACUUGCCGUUGAAACUGAUAAUCUUGAGUGUAACUGAUGUGGNCGGAAUGUGUCAAGUACCGGUGAAAUGCAUAGAUAUGACACAGAACACCGAUAGCGAAGGCAGCUCACAAAAUUACAACUGACACUGAGGCACGAAAGCGUGGGUAUCAAACAGGAUUAGAUACCCUGGUAGUCCACGCUGUAAACGAUGAUCACUAGCUGUUUGCGAUACAUUGUAAGUGGUUAAGCGAAAGCGAUAAGUGAUCCACCUGGGGAGUACGUCGGCAACGAUGAAACUCAAAGGAAUUGACGGGGGCCCGCACAAGCGGAGGAGCAUGUGGUUUAAUUCGAUGAUACGCGAGGAACCUUACCUGGGCUUGAACGUAUGGUGCAUGAGUGUGAAAGCACUCUUUCCUUCACAGGACUUCAUACGAGGUGCUGCAUGGUUGUCGUCAGCUCGUGCCGUGAGGUGUUAGGUUAAGUCCUGCAACGAGCGCAACCCCUGUUUUUAGUUGCCAUCAGGUUAUGCUGGGCACUCUAGAAAGACUGCCUGCGCAAGCAGAGAGGAAGGUGGGGAUGACGUCAAAUCAGCACGGCCCUUACGUCCAGGGCUACACACGUGCUACAAUGGUCGGCACAGAGGGUUGCUACCCGGCAACGGGAUGCUAAUCUCCAAAGUCGAUCUUAGUUCGGAUCGAAGUCUGCAACUCGACUUCGUGAAGUUGGAUUCGCUAGUAAUCGUAUAUCAGCCAUGAUACGGUGAUACGUUCCCGGGCCUUGUACACACCGCCCGUCAAGCCAUGGAAGUUGGGGGUACCUGAAGUCGAUUACCGAAAGGGAUUCUCUAGGGUAAACCGAUAACUGGGGCUAAG
RNAcentral lists this ribosomal RNA (878 nucleotides) under uncultured organism. RNAcentral's name for it is "bacterial SSU rRNA". It matches the Rfam family "Bacterial small subunit ribosomal RNA", at positions 595 to 1485 of the family's 1533-position model. The record is from RNAcentral.